RNAcentral lists this ribosomal RNA (439 nucleotides) under uncultured bacterium. RNAcentral describes it as "partial 16S ribosomal RNA". It matches the Rfam family "Bacterial small subunit ribosomal RNA", at positions 339 to 795 of the family's 1533-position model. The record is from RNAcentral.
CUACGGGAGGCUGCAGUGAGGAAUAUUGCACAAUGGGGGGAACCCUGAUGCAGCAACGCCGCGUGGAGGAUGACGCAUUUCGGUGUGUAAACUCCUUUUAUAUGUCAAGAAAAUGACGGUAGCAUAUGAAUAAGCACCGGCUAACUCCGUGCCAGCAGCCGCGGUAAUACGGAGGGUGCAAGCGUUACUCGGAAUCACUGGGCGGAAAGGACGCGUAGGCGGGUUGGAAAGUCAGGUGUGAAAUCCUACAGCUUAACUGUAGAACUGCACUUGAAACUUCUAAUCUAGAGUAUGGGAGGGGGAGAUGGAAUUAGUGGUGUAGGGGUAAAAUCCGUAGAUAUCACUAGGAAUACCUAAAGCGAAGGCGAUCUCCUGGAACAUUACUGACGCUAAGGCGUGAAAGCGUGGGGAGCAAACAGGAUUAGAUACCCCUGUAGUC